Molecule: ribosomal RNA, 1136 nt
Filed under: human gut metagenome
Description: bacterial LSU rRNA
Rfam family: Bacterial large subunit ribosomal RNA
Source: RNAcentral
GAAAUAGCUUUAGGGCUAGCCUCAUAUUAGAUCCCCGGAGGUAAAGCACUGAAUGGCCUAGCGCCCGAGAGGGUAGCGAAGCCUAUCAAACUAAGAAUGCCGGAGUAUUGAUGUAUGGGAGUCAGACAGUGUGAGAUAAAUCUCAUUGUCAAAAGGGAAACAGCCCAGAUCUACAGCUAAGGUCCCAAAUUGUAUCUAAGUGGAAAACGAUGUGGAAAUACGCAGACAACCAGGAUGUUGGCUCAGAAGCAGCCACUCAUUUAAAGAGUGCGUAAUAGCUCACUGGUCGAGAGACCCUGCGCCGAAGAUUCCCGGGGCUAAAGUACGAAACCGAAGCUGUGGCUGUAUACGUAAAGUAUACGGGGUAGGGGAGCGUUCCCAUAGGGUAGAAGUCGAACUGGAAGGUUCGGUGGACUUGUGGGAAGUGAGAAUGUUGGUAUGAGUAGCGAAAAGAAAGGUGAGAAUCCUUUCCACCGAAAGCAUAAGGAUUCCUGAGCAACGAUCGUCGUCUCAGGGUAAGUCGGGACCUAAUCCGAGGCAGAGAGCGUAGGAGAUGGACAACUGGUUGAUAUUCCAGUACCGGUAGUAAUUGUUUGAGCAAUGGAGUGACACAGAAGGGCAGGCAAGCAUGCGAAUGGAAGAGCAUGUGUAAGCGUGUAGGGUGGUGCAUAGGCAAAUCCGUGCACUGAAAGCCUGAGGCGUGAUGCGGAGUGAGCAGAGAUGCGAGCGAAGUUGUUGACCCCACACUGUCGAGAAAAGCUUCUAGUGAGAGAGCUACCGCCCGUACCGUAAACCGACACAGGUAUGCGGGGAGAGAAUCCUAAGGUGCGCGGGAGAACCCUCGUUAAGGAACUCGGCAAAAUGUACCCGUAACUUCGGGAUAAGGGUAGCCACUGUUGUGAAGUCCCAUGCGGAUGGAGCAUAGAGUGGUCGCAGAGAAGAGGCCCAAGCGACUGUUUACCAUAAACACAGGUGCCUGCUAAAGCGAAAGCUGACGUAUAGGUGCUGACACCUGCCCAGUGCCGGAAGGUUAAGGAAGGAUGUUCGGAUUAGUCCAAAGCAUUCGACUGAAGCCCCGGUGAACGGCGGCCGUAACUAUAACGGUCCUAAGGUAGCGAAAUUCCUUGUCGGGUAAG